GAAAAUGCAUAGAUGAGGAAUAGUACACAAGAGAACGGAGCACAGAGAGCUGCUGGCCGGUGAGAAGCAGCGGAAGGGAUUUGUGGAACUCGCCUCGGAGCAUCUGCCUGAAAUCUUUAUAUAUUAUAUAAGAAAGUAGACGCAGACGGUGUCCGCCGUUAUCCGGAGAGGAUAUAAGGAUGUAUAUACAUUCCGUAUCUGUCAAGUGUGUGAAUUUUUAUUCAUGAAAUAAGAGUGGUACCGCGUAGGACAGCAGUUGUCUUUCGUCUCUUGC
Molecule: non-coding RNA, 274 nt
Filed under: Ruminococcus sp.
Lineage: Bacteria; Bacillati; Bacillota; Clostridia; Eubacteriales; Oscillospiraceae
Description: T-box sequence
Rfam family: T-box leader
About the family: Uncharged tRNA acts as the effector for transcription antitermination of genes in the T-box leader family. T-boxes are found upstream of many aminoacyl-tRNA synthetase genes and some amino acid biosynthetic genes usually in Gram-positive bacteria. The anticodon of a specific tRNA base pairs to a specifier sequence within the T-box motif, and the NCCA acceptor tail of the tRNA base pairs to a conserved bulge in the T-box antiterminator hairpin.
Source: RNAcentral